Molecule: non-coding RNA, 126 nt
Organism: Brachypodium distachyon (stiff brome)
Lineage: Eukaryota; Viridiplantae; Streptophyta; Magnoliopsida; Poales; Poaceae
Source: Rfam
ACAGUACUCCCUCCGUUUCAUAAUUAUUGUCGAAAUCUUACAUGUAUCUAGACAUUUGUUUAUGAAUAGAUACAUUCAUUUUUGAACAAUUUUGAGACAAGAAUUAUGAAACGGAGGGAGUACGAG